UGCCGGCCACUCGUCCUUCGUAUGCUCAUCCAUCUUGGCUGCUCUGCUUGCCUGCUUCUCCACUCUAACUCAGGUUCUGCGAUCUCUUGUGUUGCUGCAUCCUGAUCUUCUGCUUUGUUGCAUCUCUGUUCUGCCAUCGAGAGGACGUGUCUGUACUUGCUGGGGUAGAAUUCAAAUUGUGAGGGAUGGUUGUGCUUAGAUUUGGUCGCUGCUGGUUGGUUCUUGAGUUCAGCGCAUGAAAACCUGCAACU
Molecule: long non-coding RNA, 251 nt
Organism: Triticum aestivum (bread wheat)
Lineage: Eukaryota; Viridiplantae; Streptophyta; Magnoliopsida; Poales; Poaceae
Exons: 3
Source: RefSeq, a predicted model, not a curated record